This is a long non-coding RNA of Amphimedon queenslandica, 1115 nucleotides long. RefSeq lists it as uncharacterized. NCBI's taxonomy places the organism in Eukaryota, Metazoa, Porifera, Demospongiae, Haplosclerida, Niphatidae. The transcript is spliced from 10 exons. The record is from RefSeq and is a predicted model, not a curated record.
UUGGCUAUAAAGACAGAUUUCACUACCCACCAUAAGUUAUACAUGAUGAAUAGCAGUUUAGUACAGGUAUGAUAAGCUGUUAUACUAAAAUAGCAAGGCUGUAUGGAUUAAAACAUGAUAAGGGAUGAAUGAAAGUUACUACAGUAAUUGUCUUACGUGUUUGUCAUUGUUGGAGAAGAAGUUGGUCACAUUGGGUGCCGUCUGUGCUGGAUCACUCUCUCUGAGGACUUGAACCUUCCUUACAUUGAUGAGUUUCAAGUUAGUUCUGAUCUUAAUGACUUGCUGACAAGAGAGCAGCUGCUUAUGAACAGGAGGGAGGCAAUGAAGGUAAUGGACAUUGUCCUAUACACUGUACCAGACUACCAGUACAUGAAACUCUCACUGGUUUCAAGUGGAUGGGCAACUUAAGCUACACCUUCCUUGAGAAAGGAGAGGAGGUUCUCUUCGCUUUUGAAGAAGCAAUUGGAUUCAUGUUUGGUACUACAGUACUGGAUAUAGUGGAGCUGCUGUGAUUGGAGAAAUGGCUGCCUACCUUUACUCUAAUGGACAGACAUUCUCUUCACUGUUGGAAGACAUUUAUUUAUGUCUCGUGGUGCCAAACCAUGCCCUCGGUACCUGCAGGUACAGAGGGCGUGGUCUGGCACUGCAAGAUUGAGACUACUCUCUUUUUCCUAGUACAGUACUCCCAGUACUUGUGGUUCAGCUGGUGUUUCUAGUGUAUGUGAUACUACUGUUGGGUAUGACAGUACCAGACCUCCUCACUAUAAACCAGCAGGUGUAGCCUGUCAAGCAGUAUUACAAACAGGUAUUACCAGUUCAUCCUGCAUCGUAGUCAGAUGAUCAUGUUCUCUUUGUGAGUUUACUUUGAGGACCUCACUUAGGGAUAGGACUGCACUAAAGAUCAAGUAUUACAUGUAUGCAUACACUAUACAUGUUCAGUCUUCCUGGAGUACAUAUUGAUGAGUCUUCACUUAAAGUUACUCUAUCUUAUACUGUUGAUGAUAUUAUUAAAGAGGGAACGCCAGUUUAAUUCGUGACUCUUUACCUCUGGGUCCCUCCCUUUAACUUAUUAUUGUUGUUGUUGUCAUUAUUGUUAUUGUUAUUGUUGUUAUUAU